AUAACGCACGCAUCGUGCGGAUUUGAACCUGCGCAGGUUCGAGUCGAGCGCAGCGAGCCAGCGUUGCCGGAACGGCAACGACCCGAAGGGCGAGGCCAACGGCCGAGUCAUCCUGUACGUGCGCGGU
Molecule: small RNA, 127 nt
Filed under: Acerihabitans arboris
Lineage: Bacteria; Pseudomonadati; Pseudomonadota; Gammaproteobacteria; Enterobacterales; Pectobacteriaceae
Description: Enterobacteriales bacterium SAP-6 RtT sRNA
Rfam family: RtT RNA
About the family: This family represents a bacterial cis-regulatory element known as RtT RNA. The exact function of RtT is unknown although it is thought that it may be involved in changing the cellular response in relation to amino acid starvation.
Source: RNAcentral